AGUGAACGCUGGCGGUAGGCCUAACACAUGCAAGUCGAACGGCAGCACAGUAAGAGCUUGCUCUUACGGGUGGCGAGUGGCGGACGGGUGAGGAAUACAUCGGAAUCUACUUUUUCGUGGGGGAUAACGUAGGGAAACUUACGCUAAUACCGCAUACGACCUACGGGUGAAAGCAGGGGAUCUUCGGACCUUGCGCGAUUGAAUGAGCCGAUGUCGGAUUAGCUAGUUGGCGGGGUAAAGGCCCACCAAGGCGACGAUCCGUAGCUGGUCUGAGAGGAUGAUCAGCCACACUGGACCUGAGAAACGGUCCAGACUCCUACGGGAGGCAGCAGUGGGAAAUAUUGGACAAUGGGGCAAGCCUGAUCCAGCCAUACCGCGUGGGUGAAGAAGGCCUUCGGGUUGUAAAGCCCUUUUGUUGGGAAAGAAAAGCAGCAGGUUAAUACCCCGCUGUUCUGACGGUACCCAAAGAAUAAGCACCGGCUAACUUCGUG
Molecule: ribosomal RNA, 491 nt
Filed under: uncultured bacterium
Lineage: Bacteria
Description: partial 16S ribosomal RNA
Rfam family: Bacterial small subunit ribosomal RNA
Source: RNAcentral